This 327-nucleotide ribosomal RNA is filed under the name Triticum aestivum (bread wheat). RNAcentral's name for it is "partial small subunit ribosomal RNA". Lineage: Eukaryota; Viridiplantae; Streptophyta; Magnoliopsida; Poales; Poaceae. The record is from RNAcentral.
AUGUGUUUACCGAACAGUUUCCGGUUUCCUUAUAAAUGUUGCGCUCCUUGGCUUCUACAUCCAAUAAUGGCCCUCUUCCACGUGUCGUAUGAAUGCGAAAAGCCAGGGUAUUUUUACAUUUUACCCCCUAGCUGCGCGAAUAAGCUGUCUAUAAGAGAGGCGAGGAUCCAGAUCCGAAUCACACCAUCCUCCUUCCGCAAGUUCUCAUCGAAGCGCAUCCGACAAAAAUCCAUUCCAACAUGGACAGUCGACGCGGCUCCUCCUCUCGCGCUCCCAGUCCUCAGCCAGGAGAUUGGAGGAGAUGUUCUGUCCCGCAUAGCGAGUUAG